This 851-nucleotide long non-coding RNA is filed under the name Coffea arabica (coffee). RNAcentral describes it as "long non-coding RNA (CARA_LNC002254)". Lineage: Eukaryota; Viridiplantae; Streptophyta; Magnoliopsida; Gentianales; Rubiaceae. The record is from RNAcentral.
AGUCCUUUUUUCUCUUCAAAAAAAAAAAAACAAAAAAUCAGAUACUUGUAACGGUUUAGCUAAUAGACGUUCAUUAAGUAUUCAUUAAAAGUAAUUAGAUUCUCAAAAAAAAAGUAUCACAAAUCAGGAAAUGCAAUAAAUAUGAAUGUAUAUAUUUAUAUGAUAACUUAGAUGUGACUUAGGUGUCGUUUUAAGUGCUUCUUAGGUACCAUUAGAAAAAUUCUAUAUAUAAUUGAUAAAAAAUAGAAAAAUAACAAACUUUUAAAAUCCAAGAUAUUGCACCAAAUAUAAAACAGAUAUUGAAGUUAGAUGGAAUGGAAAUAGUUAACUCAAACACCAACCGAUGGCUACUUUCCAUUGAAUCUACCCGGGCAAUUCAAUUUUGCUACCUUUAAUCAAUGAUGAAAAGGUGAUACAUGAUGUGAGGAGAGAAGACAAAUUAAGAAAUCUACUAAUAUUUGAUUUUAGAAAAAAGAAAAAAAAUAAUAAGUGAACAUCUACAAAAUGAAAGAGAACGAAGAGCUGUUUAAAUCGAUCCCAUAUGAAUUUCAUUACAAAGAAGGAAAAAAUGUAAUUGGUUUACAAUUGUCAAAUUAUAAGGAAUAUUUGAGAUUUGACAGAUCUGAUUAGAAGAUAAUUAAUUUCCAAUUGACCAACUACGAGAAGAAGAAAAGAAAAGGGCAUAGAGUUUACUUGAUAGCUGGCCAUAUUACGAGAGAAGAAUUUUUUUACCAGAGCAACUUUCAAUUAAAUACCAACACUACCCUUGACGAGUCAAAGUCUCAAUCUCAUCAAUUGAAUUGCAUGAUCCCACCACAUCUUUAGUUUGUGAUUUAUUCAGUUUCUCCCCC